CCUGACGCAGUCUGACCUCCUCUUACCACCCGUUUUAUCCCACACAUUGAUUUAGAGAGUUAUUCUUGCUCGUCGUCUGUUUUCUUAACUCUUUAUUUACUGUUUUUGUUUGUUUGAUUGAGAUUUUGUGAAAGUGUCCCGACGGUGCGUCAGCCAGGUUAAAAAAAAACAACACACACGUCAGGGUACGGAAGCCUGAAUGAAACACCUGGGUGACCGUUCGAGUGGACAAACCAACUGAAAGUAUAAACACAAACUUCAUAAGUGCUGCUGCUGCUCAAAUACAUUUAGUUUAAUAUCAUAGAAGACUAAGAAAACCAGCAAAUAUUCACCCCUAAAAGGCAGAAAAGCAGUGAAGCAUCGAGUCACCUGCUCAUCUGUGUCGCGCUGUUUGCCAUCUAACAACCCUUAAAGGAAGUACAAAGUGUGUUGCAGAGAAGAGGAAAAGACUGAGGAGGGAAAUGUUUUUUAUUAAAAUAAAAUAUAGCCACAGCUACACCUACUGGCAAAAGUUCUUUUAAAACUACUUUUCAAGUCUCCUAUUCAGGAAGUUGGGAGCGUUGUCUGAACAUGGCUGUCCUCAAACACGGUUUCCUUACUGGAUGCUUAUAAAACAAGUCAAACUUGUCUCGCAGACACUCUGCAGUCACACCGGGAGGCUGAGCAGCAAACGGCUUCCUUAGGACUGAGAUAAGUGAAACCAGCCAGGCACCAGUGUGCAUGUUUAGCUGAAGUGUGACACAUCUUCACAAAAAUAGAAAAUCACUGCAGUGAGGGAACUUGCUGUCUUCUUCGUUGGUGGAACAAGUUGAACCACAGCAGCGCCUGCAGACGGAAAGAAAAACACUCACAUCCAAAGCAGCUGCCCUCAAAAACCCCAAAUGUAUGCGAUAUAAAAAACAGAUCAAUAAAUCCAGAGAGAAUGCAGCUGAACGGUAGAUAUGUGUCUAAAUGUGUUAAUACAACGUGUGGUCAGAAUCAAAAUGAAGUGAAAUGCAAAUGCUGUUGGUCAGCUACUGUUUCAUAAAUGUACCAGAAAGAAAGAACUGAGCUAAAGAGUAAAGUGACUGUGUGUUCAAACAGGCUGGUGGAGAAUCUAAAAUCUGCUGCCUAACGUUAGUAAAGCUCUGAAUGUCUGAGGUUCGCUGUCCUGUGGGGAUUUUGUGGGAAAUAAAUCACUUCAGUAUCGGUGA
Long non-coding RNA from Micropterus dolomieu (smallmouth bass), 1193 nucleotides. RefSeq lists it as uncharacterized. The transcript is spliced from 2 exons. NCBI's taxonomy places the organism in Eukaryota, Metazoa, Chordata, Actinopteri, Centrarchiformes, Centrarchidae. The record is from RefSeq and is a predicted model, not a curated record.